Molecule: ribosomal RNA, 165 nt
Filed under: Porichthys notatus (plainfin midshipman)
Lineage: Eukaryota; Metazoa; Chordata; Actinopteri; Batrachoidiformes; Batrachoididae
Description: partial 12S rRNA
Source: RNAcentral
CACCGCGGUUACACGAAUAACUAAAACAGAUAAAACCGGCACAAAGGGUGGUUAAUAUGAUACAGAAUAAAGUUAAACAUACUACCAGAUGUAUAAACCUAAACAGUAUAUGAAGUCCUUUCCAUAAUGAAACUUUAUCCUCUUGACCCCACGUAAGCUAUCACA